CCUUCACCUAUGAGAUUUGAGCGGAGUAGCCUUAUACCUAGUAGGUCGAGAUGUGAGUCGUGCAAAGUGCGGGGUAGCCUUUGCCUAGGACCUUGAGAUGUGGGUCGGGCAAAGUGCGGGGUAGCCUUUGCCUAGGACCUUCGAGAUUGGGUCGGACCUUCGAGAUCUAAGUCGGGCGAGGAGCGGGGUAGCUCUUUGCUCAGGAUCCUUAAGACAUGAAUCGAAUGAGACAAGAAUGAGGUAGCUUUUCACCUACUAGAUUUGAGAUCUUAGGCAAAGUAGCCUAGUGGAUUGGGCAAUAAUGUGAAUAGCAUAAGUGGAUUGCAUUCAUACCAUGAUUAGACAUAGUGCAUUGCAUAACUAUGUUAUAGUUGUAUUCAUUUCACUGUUGAGGCAUAUUAGCAUGAUAGUAGAUUGUUGCUAGAUGAUGUUCCAUGCAUACUUUGCAUUUGAUGGCAUAGUAGAUAUAGUAGUAGUAUUUCGUAUAUCUUUCUAUCUAUCUAUCUGUGCCAGCUUGGACCUAGUGGGAAGAUCGGCGGAGUCGGCGGCCGAACCCACUGGGAACUAUAUUUAUAUAGUUCUUACCCCGUGUGGUUUUGGGGUACAGGUACACACGAGAGCGGAUCGACAGAGGAUCGCAGUUUGGGCUUAGCGCCCUAGUGCUAGUUGGUAGUUUACUUUCCUAUUUUGCAUUAGAGUUACCCUAUACAUGUAUUGAGAGUAGAUGAUGUAUAGGAUGUGAGGUAUUUUGAGAUAAAUGUAAACUAAUGUUUAUCUUUUGAAGAAUGUAAGCUUAUAUUCAUAGUUUGGAAAAGAAUGCAAGUUGUAAUUAAAUGUAUCGAGCUGAAUGGUUGUAAUAGAAUAGUUAAGUAUCUCUCUUUUGUUUCACUUGUAUGUCUUCUACUUGUGACGCUUGCUCUUGUAAUGUUCAGCACUGUUCGUGCUUUGGUUGUUGUAUGAUUGUGUAUGUAUUCAAGUGUUUUUCUGGAAACUUGUUGUACAAAAUCUCGUCAUUUGAGCCUUGGGCGGACAGGGGAGACUCUGUCCGUUUGGCAGUCCGCUUGCCGCGCCCGAACCGUGCCCAAUCGGUAGCGGCCUCGGGGCUGGGGCGUGACAUUAUCCCUCUAACCAAACGGGGCCUUUGACAUAAAGGCGACCUAGUAGCUUCGGUGAACACAACCCACAUCGAUUCG
This 1193-nucleotide long non-coding RNA is filed under the name Ananas comosus (pineapple). RNAcentral describes it as "long non-coding RNA (ACOM_LNC013473)". Lineage: Eukaryota; Viridiplantae; Streptophyta; Magnoliopsida; Poales; Bromeliaceae. The record is from RNAcentral.